CUCUCUCUCUCUCUCUCUAAUAGAAAGAAAGAGGACAAAAUGUAAAUAUUAUAGAAAGUGAGAUAAAUACAAGAAUACAAGAUGGAAGCAGAAAUGA
Long non-coding RNA from Lontra canadensis (Northern American river otter), 97 nucleotides. RefSeq lists it as uncharacterized. Lineage: Eukaryota; Metazoa; Chordata; Mammalia; Carnivora; Mustelidae. The transcript is spliced from 3 exons. The record is from RefSeq and is a predicted model, not a curated record.